CGCCUGGGGAGUACGGCCGCAAGGUUAAAACUCAAAUGAAUUGACGGGGGCCCGCACAAGCGGUGGAGCAUGUGGUUUAAUUCGAUGCAACGCGAAGAACCUUACCUGGUCUUGACAUCCACGGAAGUUUUCAGAGAUGAGAAUGUGCCUUCGGGAACCGUGAGACAGGUGCUGCAUGGCUGUCGUCAGCUCGUGUUGUGAAAUGUUGGGUUAAGUCCCGCAACGAGCGCAACCCUUAUCCUUUGUUGCCAGCGAUUAGGUCGGGAACUC
Molecule: ribosomal RNA, 270 nt
Filed under: Salmonella enterica subsp. enterica serovar Infantis
Lineage: Bacteria; Pseudomonadati; Pseudomonadota; Gammaproteobacteria; Enterobacterales; Enterobacteriaceae
Also listed under: 3 other names
Description: partial 16S ribosomal RNA
Rfam family: Bacterial small subunit ribosomal RNA
Source: RNAcentral